UGCCGCGCAUGGCGCGGCGGCCGGGGCACUGGCCUGGCUGGCCGGGUGGCUGACUGGAUUCGCGAUGCUGCUGCCGUUCUAUCUGCUGCGCGGCAU
This 96-nucleotide transfer RNA is filed under the name Pandoraea horticolens. RNAcentral describes it as "Pandoraea sp. LMG 31112 tRNA-Ala". The record is from RNAcentral. Lineage: Bacteria; Pseudomonadati; Pseudomonadota; Betaproteobacteria; Burkholderiales; Burkholderiaceae.